UACGUAGGGAGCAAGCGUUAUCCGGAUUUAUUGGGUGUAAAGGGUGCGUAGACGGGAAGGCAAGUUGGUUGUGAAAUCCCUCGGCUUAACUGAGGAACUGCAACCAAAACUAUCUUUCCUGAGUGCUGGAGAGGAAAGUGGAAUUCCUAGUGUAGCGGUGAAAUGCGUAGAUAUUAGGAGGAACACCAGUGGCGAAGGCGACUUUCUGGACAGUAACUGACGUUGAGGCACGAAAGUGUGGGGAGCAAACAGG
Molecule: ribosomal RNA, 253 nt
Filed under: uncultured bacterium
Lineage: Bacteria
Description: partial 16S ribosomal RNA
Rfam family: Bacterial small subunit ribosomal RNA
Source: RNAcentral